CUUGUCGGGUAAGUUCCGACCUGCACGAAUGGCAUAAUGAUGGCGGCGCUGUCUCCAGCAGAGGCUCAGUGAAAUCGAAAUCGCUGUGAAGAUGCAGUGUACCCGCGGCUAGACGGAAAGACCCCGUGAACCUUUACUGCAGCUUGACACUGAACUUUGACCUUACUUGUGUAGGAUAGGUGGGAGGCUUUGAAGCGUGGAACGCUAGUCUGCAGUGGAGCCAACCUUGAAAUACCACCCUUGUAAUGUUUGAUGUUCUAACGUUGGCCCCUGACCGGGGUUGCGGACAGUGUCUGGUGGGUAGUUUGACUGGGGCGGUCUCCUCCCAAAGCGUAACGGAGGAGUACGAAGGUGCGCUCAGCGUGGUCGGAAAUCACGCGUAGAGUAUAAAGGCAAAAGCGCGCUUAACUGCGAGACCCACAAGUCGAGCAGGUACGAAAGUAGGUCUUAGUGAUCCGG
Molecule: ribosomal RNA, 459 nt
Rfam family: Bacterial large subunit ribosomal RNA